GUCCAGGAAUAGGAAUCGAACCCACAGUAUUCCGUUUACCGGGCAGAUGCCAUGUCCACUAGGCUACCCUGGA
This 73-nucleotide transfer RNA is filed under the name Cordylochernes scorpioides. Its description in RNAcentral is "tRNA-Thr". The record is from RNAcentral. Lineage: Eukaryota; Metazoa; Arthropoda; Arachnida; Pseudoscorpiones; Chernetidae.